GAGAAACCAAGUUUGAUUUCGGUUAAUUUAUUUUCGAAUUGAUGUGCUUGGGCGAUCCCAUGUGAAGGUCGAUGUUAAAGAUAUAGUUACAGUUGCGGUUUUGGUUGCAUUAUGGCCAUCGGAGAUCUUGCCGGAAGUCGCAACAAUGGAAGAAGUUUAAAGUGGCAGAAAGGGUGAUGGGGCAAAUUACAUAAGGAUAGCAGGUAG
Molecule: long non-coding RNA, 207 nt
Filed under: Helianthus annuus (common sunflower)
Lineage: Eukaryota; Viridiplantae; Streptophyta; Magnoliopsida; Asterales; Asteraceae
Description: sRNA HanXRQr2_Chr02g0050731
Source: RNAcentral